RNAcentral lists this ribosomal RNA (228 nucleotides) under uncultured bacterium. RNAcentral's name for it is "partial 16S ribosomal RNA". It matches the Rfam family "Bacterial small subunit ribosomal RNA", at positions 111 to 334 of the family's 1533-position model. The record is from RNAcentral.
UAACGCGUAGGUAACCUGCCUUGUAGCGGGGGAUAACUAUUGGAAACGAUAGCUAAUACCGCAUAACAAUGGAUGACCCAUGUCAUUCAUUUGAAAGGGGCAAAUGCUCCACUACAAGAUGGACCUGCGUUGUAUUAGCUAGUAGGUGAGGUAACGGCUCACCUAGGCGACGAUACAUAGCCGACCUGAGGGGGUGAUCGGCCACACUGGGACUGAGACACGGCCCAG